CGCAGAGUUCCCGCUUGAUUGCGUUUGUGUUUUAGUUUAUUGUUCUUCCUCAUCUAAAGUGAAGCACUAAGCUGAUCAGCAGGAGGAGAAGAGUCUGACGGAGCAGCAGAGGAAAUUUCAGCUACUUGGACUCAGCUCAGCCACUGCAGAGAAAACAAUGAGUUCGACACAGAAGGACCAACAUGGACCGAGAAGUCAGCGCUCUCAGGAGGCCGACAAACCUCACAGGAGAAAGAGAGAGAAAAAAUACACCUGUGACGAGUGUGGGAAGGAUUUUACGAGGAAGUCUAAACUAAAACAACAUCAGCUCAUCCACACUGGAGAGAGACCGUUCAGCUGUGACUUGUGUGGAAA
Long non-coding RNA from Oreochromis niloticus (Nile tilapia), 354 nucleotides. RefSeq lists it as uncharacterized. Lineage: Eukaryota; Metazoa; Chordata; Actinopteri; Cichliformes; Cichlidae. The transcript is spliced from 3 exons. The record is from RefSeq and is a predicted model, not a curated record.